Molecule: long non-coding RNA, 300 nt
Filed under: Elaeis guineensis (African oil palm)
Lineage: Eukaryota; Viridiplantae; Streptophyta; Magnoliopsida; Arecales; Arecaceae
Description: long non-coding RNA (EGUI_LNC063595)
Source: RNAcentral
AGACCACUACGGUGACUUAUAAGUAACUCAUCAUACUUUAAUACCAGACCAUCUGAGUUUUUAACUUAGUGAUAAAAGGAUACUAGGUGUAGUCAAGUACUUAUCAAGUCGGUGUAUGAGUCAAGAUGAAAUUGACCCCUCUGAAUUGGUAAGAGAUAUGCAUCAGUGUAUUUCAAUUUAGCAAAAUCUUGAUCAAGAUAAUCUAUGAGAUGGAUUUAAAAGAUUGAAAUAUAAUACGGUUGACUUAAUUAGGAUUGACAGUUAAAUCUUAGGUCACUUUGAGCAUUUGGAUUAAAGGGA